Molecule: ribosomal RNA, 415 nt
Filed under: uncultured prokaryote
Description: bacterial SSU rRNA
Rfam family: Bacterial small subunit ribosomal RNA
Source: RNAcentral
GUGUCAGCAGCCGCGGUAAAACGUAGGGGGCGAGCGUUACCCGGAUUUACUGGGCGUAAAGUGCGUUGAGGCGGUCCCGUAAGUUGGGCGUGAAAGCCCCGGGCUCAACCCGGGGAGGCCGUUCAAUACUGCGGGACUUGAGGGCGGGAGAGGGAGGUGGAAUUCCCGGUGUAGUGGUGAAAUGCGUAGAUAUCGGGAGGAACACCAUUGGCGAAGGCGGCCUCCUGGCCCGCUCCUGACGCUGAAGGCGAAAGCCAGGGGAGCGAACGGGAUUAGAUACCCCGGUAGUCCUGGCUGUAAACGAUGGACGCUAGGUGUGGGGGGGGAUAAACUCCCUCCGUGCCGAAGCUAACGCGUUAAGCGUCCCGCCUGGGGACUACGGCCGCAAGGCUAAAACUCAAAUGAAUUGACGGGG